RNAcentral lists this transfer RNA (75 nucleotides) under Camelus bactrianus (Bactrian camel). It matches the Rfam family "tRNA". From Rfam's summary of the family: Transfer RNA (tRNA) molecules are approximately 80 nucleotides in length. Lineage: Eukaryota; Metazoa; Chordata; Mammalia; Artiodactyla; Camelidae. RNAcentral also lists the same sequence under 2 other names. The record is from Rfam by way of RNAcentral.
GGAGGGUUAGCUCAGGGGGGUAGAGCGUGUGCUUAGUGCACACGAAGUCCUGGGUUCAAUCCCCCAGCACCUCCG